CCCUUAGAGUUUGAUCCUGGCUCAGGAUGAACGCUAGCUACAGGCUUAACACAUGCAAGUCGAGGGGAAACGACAUCGAAAGCUUGCUUUCGAUGGGCGUCGACCGGCGCACGGGUGAGUAACGCGUAUCCAACCUGCCCAUCACUUGGGGAUAACCUUGCGAAAGUAAGACUAAUACCCAAUGACGUCUCUAGAAGACAUCUGAAGGAGAUUAAAGAUUUAUCGGUGAUGGAUGGGGAUGCGUCUGAUUAGCUUGUUGGCGGGGUAACGGCCCACCAAGGCGACGAUCAGUAGGGGUUCUGAGAGGAAGGUCCCCCACAUUGGAACUGAGACACGGUCCAAACUCCUACGGGAGGCAGCAGUGAGGAAUAUUGGUCAAUGGGCGAGAGCCUGAACCAGCCAAGUAGCGUGCAGGAUGACGGCCCUAUGGGUUGUAAACUGCUUUUAUAAGGGAAUAAAGUGAGCCUCGUGAGGCUUUUUGCAUGUACCUUAUGAAUAAGGACCGGCUAAUUCCGUGCCAGCAGCCGCGGUAAUACGGAAGGUCCGGGCGUUAUCCGGAUUUAUUGGGUUUAAAGGGAGCGUAGGCCGGAGAUUAAGCGUGUUGUGAAAUGUAGACGCUCAACGUCUGCACUGCAGCGCGAACUGGUUUCCUUGAGUACGCACAAAGUGGGCGGAAUUCGUGGUGUAGCGGUGAAAUGCUUAGAUAUCACGAAGAACUCCGAUUGCGAAGGCAGCUCACUGGAGCGCAACUGACGCUGAAGCUCGAAAGUGCGGGUAUCGAACAGGAUUAGAUACCCUGGUAGUCCGCACGGUAAACGAUGGAUGCCCGCUGUUGGUCUGAAUAGGUCAGCGGCCAAGCGAAAGCAUUAAGCAUCCCACCUGGGGAGUACGCCGGCAACGGUGAA
Molecule: ribosomal RNA, 905 nt
Filed under: uncultured bacterium
Lineage: Bacteria
Description: bacterial SSU rRNA
Rfam family: Bacterial small subunit ribosomal RNA
Source: RNAcentral